UGCCAGAAGAUUUCAGAGAUUGUGGAUCUGUGGGCAAAAUGUAGCGAACCACAGAGACAUCAUUCACCUGAGAGAGAGAGAGAGAGAGAGAGAGAGAGAGAGAGAGACUGAAGGGUGAAGUAUGAGAGGAGAAACAGCUGGAUACAUGCAGACAACCAAAGGAGGAGUGCAGGCUCUUACAUGUAUAAGGUCAGCUUUCUCUCUGUCUUACCCCCCACCCAGCUCAUUCCUGUCUCACUCUCUGCCCAGCUCAGUCUGUACUUAAGAGAUUUCUGAGGCACAGCUAAUGGUUUGCUGUUGCUUUUUACAGACUACAGCAGCCACAAUCACACAGAAAUAACAGCACAUCCUAAAGAACAUGCAGAAUGACAUGAAACAGAGAGAGAGAGAGAGAGAGAGAGAGAGAGAGAGCGAGUGAGCAGAAGAAAGAGAGAGAUAAGAGAUGUAGAGGAAAUAAGGAGUGGUAUAAGAAGUGAGCAUGAGCCUGUCAAAAGCUAGCUUUUAAAGGGGUCAUAUGAUGCUGCUAAAAAUAACAUUAUUUUGUGUAUUUAGUGUAAUGAAAUGUGUUUAUGUGGUUUAAGGUUAAAAAAACACAUUAUUUUCCAGAUACUGUACAUUAUUGUUUCUCCUCUAUGCCCCGCCUUCUGAAACGCAUCGAUUUUUACAAGGCUCAUCGCUCUGAAAAGUGAGGUUUGCUCUGAUUGGCCAGCUAUCCAGUGUGUUGUGAUUGGUUGAAUACCUCAAGCAUGUGAUGGAAAUGUUACGCCCCUUAACAUACUGUGAUGCCGUGUGUCCCGGCACGACAAGACAAAAACAUAAAACCCAUUAUAAACGAGGCAUUUGUUGCAUCCAGUGGGGACAUAAUUACUGAUUAUAAUGACUUAUACUUUAUUUUUAUGCGUUGCAUUGUGUAUUGUGCCGCAUAAACAUAAAACCAUGUCUGCAUUUGUGAUUGGAGAAACGACAAACAACAAGCUCUACUCUACACUGCUCAAAACUCGCGUUUGAAUCAUCAGUGGCAAAUUCUUUAAAUAUGAAAACAUACUUACAGGCUGUGCGUCAGAAGCGCCUGACUGUCCUUGCAAAGUUGGAUUGCCCCACUUUAUAGAAACAGACUCCGGCAUUGUAGGCUUCUGGUUCAGGAAACAGUCCUCCGUAAAAUGCGCUGCACACAUCUGAAUAUUUGGGUUGAACUGUUCUGGAACAGUGUUGAAAUACAACUUAACCACUGAUUUCUCGUCAUGUCCGCUUUUGGAAGGCCAAACAAAGUAGUUUCGCUUUCACAACGAAACACAGCGUCUCCACGACAUGGCGGCGGUGGCAACAGCGAGAAUAAAAGCUACACCUUCUUUCUUUGC
Long non-coding RNA from Cyprinus carpio (common carp), 1358 nucleotides. The record is from Ensembl. NCBI's taxonomy places the organism in Eukaryota, Metazoa, Chordata, Actinopteri, Cypriniformes, Cyprinidae.